GUYUUUUUGUUAAAAAUUUAAAGUCGGGCCUGCCCACUGAAAAUUUAAAUGGCCGUGGUAUUUUGACCGUGCUAAGGUAGCAUAAUCAUUAGUUUUUUAAUUGAAAGCUGGAAUGAAGGGUUUGAUAAAAAAAUGACUGUCUCUAUUUAAUUUUAUUAAAAUUUUAUUUUUAAGUUCAAAAGCUUAAUUUAUGUUAAAAGACGAGAAGACCCUAUAGAGUUUAAUAAUAAAAAUUAAUUUUUAUUUUAGAAUUAAUUUAUUUAUUUUUUAAUAUUAUUUAGUUGGGGUGAUUGAAAAAUUUAAUUAACUUUUUUUAUAUUAAAUCAUUAAUUUAUGAGUAUUUGAUCCAAUUUUUUUGAUUAUAAGAUAAAAUUACCUUAGGGAUAACAGCGUAAUUUUUUUAGAAAGUUCAAAUUAAAAAAAAAGAUUGCGACCUCGAUGUUGGAUUAAAAUUAAAUUUUGGUGUAGAAGCUAAAAAUUUAAGUCUGUUCGACUUUUAAAAUUUUACA
Molecule: ribosomal RNA, 509 nt
Filed under: Calligrapha notatipennis
Lineage: Eukaryota; Metazoa; Arthropoda; Insecta; Coleoptera; Chrysomelidae
Description: partial 16S ribosomal RNA
Rfam family: Archaeal large subunit ribosomal RNA (bases 383-509)
Source: RNAcentral